UGAAAUUCCAGGUGAGGGUUCUAUGAC
RNAcentral lists this non-coding RNA (27 nucleotides) under Mus musculus (house mouse). Lineage: Eukaryota; Metazoa; Chordata; Mammalia; Rodentia; Muridae. The record is from RNAcentral.